This 405-nucleotide ribosomal RNA is filed under the name uncultured marine bacterium. RNAcentral describes it as "bacterial SSU rRNA". It matches the Rfam family "Bacterial small subunit ribosomal RNA", at positions 443 to 832 of the family's 1533-position model. The record is from RNAcentral.
UGAGGAAAAGUUAGUAGUUAAUACCUGCUAGCCGUGACGUUAACAACAGAAGAAGCACCGGCUAACUCCGUGCCAGCAGCCCGCGGUAAUACGGAGGGUGCGUAGCGUUAAUCGGUAAUUACUGGGCUGUAAAGCAGCACGCAGGCGGUUUGUUAAGCUAGAUGUGAAAGCUCCCGGGCUCAACCUGCGGACGGUCAUUUAGAACUGGCAGACUAGAGUCUUGGAGAGGGGAGAUGGAAUUCCAGGUGUAGCGGUGAAAUGCGUAGAUAUCUGGAGGAACAUCAGUGGCGAACGCGACUCCCUGGCCAAAGACUGACGCUCAAGUGCGAAAGUGUGGGUAGCGAACAGGAUUAGAUACCCUGGUAGUCCACACCGCAAACGCUGUCUACUAGCUGUUUGUGGCUU